GAUGAACGCUGGCGGCGUGCCUAAUACAUGCAAGUCGAGCGAACAGACGAGGAGCUUGCUCCUCUGACGUUAGCGGCGGACGGGUGAGUAACACGUGGAUAACCUACCUAUAAGACUGGGAUAACUUCGGGAAACCGGAGCUAAUACCGGAUAAUAUAUUGAACCGCAUGGUUCAAUAGUGAAAGACGGUUUUGCUGUCACUUAUAGAUGGAUCCGCGCCGCAUUAGCUAGUUGGUAAGGUAACGGCUUACCAAGGCAACGAUGCGUAGCCGACCUGAGAAGGUGAUCGGCCACACUGGAACUGAGACACGGUCCAGACUCCUACGGGAGGCAGCAGUAGGGAAUCUUCCGCAAUGGGCGAAAGCCUGACGGAGCAACGCCGCGUGAGUGAUGAAGGUCUUCGGAUCGUAAAACUCUGUUAUUAGGGAAGAACAAAUGUGUAAGUAACUAUGCACGUCUCGACGGUACCUAAUCAGAAAGCCACGGCUAACUACGUG
RNAcentral lists this ribosomal RNA (497 nucleotides) under uncultured bacterium. RNAcentral's name for it is "partial 16S ribosomal RNA". It matches the Rfam family "Bacterial small subunit ribosomal RNA", at positions 28 to 507 of the family's 1533-position model. The record is from RNAcentral.